Molecule: ribosomal RNA, 243 nt
Filed under: uncultured bacterium
Lineage: Bacteria
Description: partial 16S ribosomal RNA
Rfam family: Bacterial small subunit ribosomal RNA
Source: RNAcentral
GCGAGCGUUGUCCGGAUUUAUUGGGCGUAAAGAGCUCGUAGGCGGCUUGUCGCGUCGGCUGUGAAAUCCCGUGGCUCAACUGCGGGUCUGCAGCCGAUACGGGCAGGCUAGAGUUCGGUAGGGGAGACUGGAAUUCCUGGUGUAGCGGUGAAAUGCGCAGAUAUCAGGAGGAACACCGGUGGCGAAGGCGGGUCUCUGGGCAACAACUGACGCUGAGGAGCGAAAGCGUGGGGAGCGAACAGG